UACAGAGACCUCAAGCGUUAUCCGGAAUCAUUGGGCGUAAAGCGUACCGAUAGGUGGUUUUACAAGUCAGAAGUGAAAUCCCUCAGCUUAACUGGGAGACUGUCUUUUGAAACUGUAAAACUAGAGGGGCAAAGAGGAAGCUGGAACGAACGGUGUAGUAGUGAAAUGCGUUGAUAUCGUUCGGAACACCAAUAGCGUAGGCAGGCUUCUGGGUGCCACCUGACACUGCUAGGACGAAAGCGUGGGGAGCGAAUGGG
RNAcentral lists this ribosomal RNA (257 nucleotides) under uncultured bacterium. RNAcentral's name for it is "partial 16S ribosomal RNA". It matches the Rfam family "Bacterial small subunit ribosomal RNA", at positions 524 to 776 of the family's 1533-position model. The record is from RNAcentral.